GAUGAAGAACGCAGUGAAAUGCGAUAAGUAAUGUGAAUUGCAGAAUUCAGUGAAUCAUCGAAUCUUUGAACGCACCUUGCGCUCUUUGGUAUUCCGAAGAGCAUGCCUGUUUGAGUGUCAUGAAAAUAUCAACCUUGACUUGGGUUUUGUGCUCUAGUCUCGGCUUGGAAUUGGGUGCUUGCCGCUUUUACGAGCGGCUCACCUUAAAUGUAUUAGCUGGAUCUGUCUUUGAGACUUGGUUUGACUUGGCGUAAUAAGUAUUUCGCUAAGGACAUUCUUCGGAGUGGCCUCGUUUCUAGGACGCUUGUCCGCUUUCCAAUACAAGUUCCACCUCGUGUACAUGACUUUUUAUUAUCUGGCCUCAAAUCAGGUAGGACUACCCGCUGAACUUAAGCAUAUCAAUAAGCGGAGGA
This 413-nucleotide unclassified non-coding RNA is filed under the name soil metagenome. RNAcentral's name for it is "partial contains 5.8S ribosomal RNA, internal transcribed spacer 2, and large subunit ribosomal RNA". The stretch from base 1 to 120 matches the Rfam family "5.8S ribosomal RNA", at positions 35 to 154 of the family's 154-position model. The record is from RNAcentral.